RNAcentral lists this ribosomal RNA (433 nucleotides) under uncultured bacterium. RNAcentral describes it as "partial 16S ribosomal RNA". It matches the Rfam family "Bacterial small subunit ribosomal RNA", at positions 29 to 507 of the family's 1533-position model. The record is from RNAcentral.
AACGAACGCUGGCGGCAUGCCUAACACAUGCAAGUCGAACGAGACCUUCGGGUUUAGUGGCGCACGGGUGCGUAACGCGUGGGAAUCUGCCCUUCGGUUGGGAAUAACUGAGAGAAAUUUCAGCUAAUACCUUAUAAUGUCUUCGGACCAAAGAUUUAUCGCCGAGGGAUGAGCCCGCGUAGGAUUAGGUAGUUGGUGGGGUAAUGGCCUACCAAGCCGACGAUCCUUAGCUGGUCUGAGAGGAUGAUCAGCCACACUGGGACUGAGACACGGCCCAGACUCCUACGGGAGGCAGCAGUGGGGGAUAUUGGACAAUGGGCGAAGGCCUGAUCCAGCAAUGCCGCGUGAGUGAUGAAGGCCUUAGGGUUGUAAAGCUCUUUUACCCGGGAUGAUAAUGACAGUACCGGGAGAAUAAGCUCCGGCUAACUCCGUG